This 440-nucleotide ribosomal RNA is filed under the name uncultured bacterium. RNAcentral describes it as "partial 16S ribosomal RNA". It matches the Rfam family "Bacterial small subunit ribosomal RNA", at positions 339 to 795 of the family's 1533-position model. The record is from RNAcentral.
CUACGGGAGGCACCAGUAAGGAAUAUUGCACAAUGGGGGAAACCCUGAUGCAGCAACGCCGCGUGGACGAAGAAGGCCUUCGGGUCGUAAAGUCCUUUUCUGAGGGAAGAGGAAGGACGGUACCUCAGGAAUAAGUCUCGGCUAACUACGUGCCAGCAGCCGCGGUAAAACGUGGGAGGCGAGCGUUAUCCGGAUUCACUGGGCGUAAAGGGCAAGUAGGCGGUUGUUUAAGUUAGGUGUGACAUCUCUCGGCUUAACUGGGAGGGAGCGCUUAAAACUAGGCAACUAGAGGGCGGAAGAAGGGGGUAGAACUCCAAAUGUAGCGGUGGCAUGCUCAGAUAUUUGGAAGAAUACCAGUGGCGAAGGCGACCCCCCGGUCCGUGCCUGACGCUGAGAGGCGAAAGCUAGGGUAGCGAACGGGAUUAGAUACCCGCGUAGUC